GACGAACGCUGGCGGCGUGCCUAAUACAUGCAAGUAGAACGCUGAAGGAGGAGCUUGCUUCUCUGGAUGAGUUGCGAACGGGUGAGUAACGCGUAGGUAACCUGCCUGGUAGCGGGGGAUAACUAUUGGAAACGAUAGCUAAUACCGCAUAAUAUUGACUAUUGCAUGAUAGUCAAUUAAAAGGUGCAAUUGCAUCACUACCAGAUGGACCUGCGUUGUAUUAGCUAGUUGGUGGGGUAACGGCUCACCAAGGCGACGAUACAUAGCCGACCUGAGAGGGUGAUCGGCCACACUGGGACUGAGACACGGCCCAGACUCCUACGGGAGGCAGCAGUAGGGAAUCUUCGGCAAUGGACGGAAGUCUGACCGAGCAACGCCGCGUGAGUGAAGAAGGUUUUCGGAUCGUAAAGCUCUGUUGUAAGAGAAGAACGAGUGUGAGAGUGGAAAGUUCACAC
RNAcentral lists this ribosomal RNA (455 nucleotides) under Streptococcus sp. oral taxon 058. Its description in RNAcentral is "bacterial SSU rRNA". It matches the Rfam family "Bacterial small subunit ribosomal RNA", at positions 28 to 469 of the family's 1533-position model. Lineage: Bacteria; Bacillati; Bacillota; Bacilli; Lactobacillales; Streptococcaceae. The record is from RNAcentral.